CGCUGCAUCCCGCCGCCGCUGUCCCGCCCUGCGCCGGCCCCGCGCGUCGCUGCAGCCUGCCGCCUCCCCGUGCAGAGAGGUGUGCGCCUUCGGAGUCGCCGCUCUCGGUGGAAAGGGAAAGAAAGACUACUACUCGAUUACUCAUCGGUCAUCGCCCCUCUCCCCUACCGAAUCUGCCCACUGGACCUCUCAUGACACAAGCGCAACAUGGCCUGCCUAUUAAUCCGUGUCGAUCCUUCCUCGACGGCGGCGGCUACGGCAAGACGGGGAAUCCAAACAAAGACAACAGCUAGCGGUGUCUACGGCAAGACAGUAACAAAACAGGUCGACCGACGGUGGAAAGGAGACGUUGUUGCCAAUGGAGAAUACGACGGGGGAUUCGAACAAACCAAGCAAACGCGUUGAUAACCAUACUCGGAAGGAUAAACCAUCAGCGUACAGUAGCACGGGUUGCUCAAAACAAUACAAUGUAAACAAACACCACAUGCACAAGAUGCUGGAGUAUAGGUUUGUAGAGGAAUGCCCGUACCCGGGUCUUAUUCUCGAGCCGUUCUGCUCAUGGAGGGAGAAGGUUGUGGCGGUUCUAAACGUGGUACGCCGCCGAGAAAAAACCGAAGAAAACCCCAAGACAGGCUUGUGUAGACCUACCCGCUUUUGUGAAUGCUACAACAUAGCCUUCUUUGACUUCGAUAAAGAGUGCGAGUAUGUCCUUGUUUUAUUUACUAUCCUUGUUCAAAACUAUUGAUCAGAAAUAGUUCUAAGCAUUGUGCUUGUAAGGUUGCUUCCAACACCUGUUGCUUGAACAAACAAAUCUAAAAAAAUAUUAUAUUAGUCUUAAAAAUUAAUUGA
Setaria italica (foxtail millet) is the source of this 849-nucleotide long non-coding RNA. RefSeq lists it as uncharacterized. NCBI's taxonomy places the organism in Eukaryota, Viridiplantae, Streptophyta, Magnoliopsida, Poales, Poaceae. The transcript is spliced from 2 exons. The record is from RefSeq and is a predicted model, not a curated record.